This 77-nucleotide transfer RNA is filed under the name Candidatus Atribacter alterifermentans. RNAcentral describes it as "tRNA-Glu". It matches the Rfam family "tRNA". Rfam says of the family: Transfer RNA (tRNA) molecules are approximately 80 nucleotides in length. Their secondary structure includes four short double-helical elements and three loops (D, anti-codon, and T loops). Lineage: Bacteria; Pseudomonadati; Atribacterota; Atribacteria; Atribacterales; Atribacteraceae. The record is from RNAcentral.
GCCCUCAUCGUCUAGCCAGGUAAGGACACCGCCCUUUCAAGGCGGCGACAGCGGUUCAAAUCCGCUUAAGGGCGCCA